CCAGACUCCUACGGGAGGCAGCAGUGGGGAAUAUUGGACAAUGGGGGGAACCCUGAUCCAGCGACGCCGCGUGAGUGAAGAAGUAUUUCGGUAUGUAAAGCUCUAUCAGCAGGGAAGAAAGAAAUGACGGUACCUGACUAAGAAGCACCGGCUAAAUACGUGCCAGCAGCCGCGGUAAUACGUAUGGUGCAAGCGUUAUCCGGAUUUACUGGGUGUAAAGGGAGCGCAGGCGGUACGGCAAGUCUGAUGUGAAAGCCCGGGGCUCAACCCCGGUACUGCAUUGGAAACUACCGGACUGGAGUGUCGGAGGGGUAAGUGGAAUUCCUAGUGUAGCGGUGAAAUGCGUAGAUAUUAGGAGGAACACCAGUGGCGAAGGCGGCUUACUGGACGAUCACUGACGCUGAGGCUCGAAAGCGUGGGGAGCAAGCAGGAUUAGAUACCCGAGUAC
RNAcentral lists this ribosomal RNA (448 nucleotides) under uncultured bacterium. RNAcentral's name for it is "bacterial SSU rRNA". It matches the Rfam family "Bacterial small subunit ribosomal RNA", at positions 331 to 793 of the family's 1533-position model. The record is from RNAcentral.